AUUUUCUAAAGAGUAAAUAGGAACAUCUUGGAAGGAGACCAUGGCAGAGCUGCUUUUGAUAACUCUUAUGAUUUUCACGUAUUCAAAAGGCUAACUGGCCAGGGUUUUUACAAACUGAGGCCAACGGCUAGGGGUUAAUAGAACAUUUACCUAACAUGUUCAGCCACCAACAUGGGAAAAACAAAAUGGAUUGUCUUUGGCAGAGGCCGAAUUAUGAUAAGCAGAAGCUUCCUUCGGUCCCUUUUAAAGCAACUGUCUUAGUAGAAGAAAAAUAUGUAGGAAUUAGGUAAAGUGUGAGCUGGUAAAUUUGGCUGAACCGCCUCCACUCGAAAACACCGCUUCAUCAGAAAAAGACCUCCGCACUGUCUCCUCUUACAGCCCCAGCGGGGUCGGGUGAUGCGGACAGAAUGGGCCCCGCUAAGGGGCAAGCCUGGCUUAGAGCCCUCCUCCUUGAUCAGCAGGGGUGGGCCCCUGUGGCAAGUGAUCCUGCCUGCCUAAGCCUGUUUCCUCAUCGCUAAGAGAAAAAUGGCUCAUGGCAGUCAGUCGUUGUUAGGGUGUGCAUCUGAAAUGUCCCCCAAAAGCUGGUGUGCAGAAAGCGUGGUCCCUAGCUGGCUUUAUUGAGAAGUGGUGGAAACUGCAGGAGGCCGGCCCAGUGGGAGUAGGCAGGCCACUGGGUUUGCCCUCUGUAUGCUCUCCCUCUCCUCCCCUCCCCUCCCCAGCCCCCUACCCUUCUGCUCCAACUCUGUCUUCUCUCUUUCUCCCCACCUCCCCACUCUUUCCUUAUCCCUUCAUGAGGUGAGCAGCUCUGCCUUCCCACCGCUAACCACCCUAGGAUGUUUUGCCUCACCACAGUCCCCUAGCAACCAGCCCAGGUGGCCAUGGACUGAACCUUCUGAAACUGAGAGCCAAGAUAAAUCUUUCCUCCUCUCAGUUGAUGUUCCUGUAUAUCUUACCACAGUGACACAAAACUGACCAAAAUGCUCAUCCCCUAAGUUUCUUAGGAUGAAAUGAGAAGAGAUGAUCUUGGAAGUCAGCAGUGGUUUUGUUUUUAUCUAUGUCUCAGUCACUUUUCUGUUGCUAGGAUGCAAUCCCUGACACCCACAAGUUAAAGAAAGAGGUUCGUUUUGGCCCACAGUUCUCGAAGUUUCAGUCCGUGGUCGCCUGGCUCAAACACAGAAACCACAUGUUAGGCGCCCAGCAGAUGAAAGCUACUGGGUUCUUGGGGCAGGGAAGUGGGAAGAGCCACGGAGAGAGACACGUUCUUCCAGGUUACACCCCAGUUCCACCUCCUAACGGCUCCCUCACCUCUGAGGUCAUCUGUGAAUUAAUCCACGGAUCGGUCCAUGGUCCAAUCACCUUCCAACAGCUCACCUCUGACCACGUCAGACUCCUGGGGACAUCUGUAUCAAAGUCCUAACAACCUCCUUCCCCCAUACACACACCGUUCUGAACUUCUCGGGAGCCCUUCUCCUAGCUCUACGGCACAAAAACAAGGUAUCACGGUAGAGUUGGGAAGCAGCACGUAGGAUUAUUGGCAUAGCCAAUGUAUCAGUAAAACCAAUACAGCAGAUAAACAGAUGUAAUCAGAAAACGAUUUUGUCAUCCCUUCUUCUGCCCGAUCAAACCUGUUCUGGAGCCUCGGAAUUUGUUUGAACACCCAUGGAUGAACAUUCAAGCAGGCCUCAGCACUUUUCUGGUCAUACUGAAGGUUUGGCAAGGACCUCAAGUCGCUGUCAGUAAUAGGCCCAGGCACACAUACGCAUCCAUCUGAAUUUCCUCUAAGGUUGAGUCAUGUCCCCUGGGGUGAGGAAUGCAGCUCAGUGGUGGAGGCCUGCCUAGCAGGCGAAAGGCCCUGGGUUCCAGCCCAGCUGCACAAAGGAAAAAGAAAAGUCAAACCUUCCUGAAGAGAGACUCUGGGAGCCUUCCUUCCCUCUGUAGACCUUCUCUUCCUCUCUCCUCGCCCACCCAGCCACCCCACGCUGAGUCCGGGUGGAGCUGUUCCAGGGUUGAUGGGUAUUGGAGAGAGGAAUCGCACCGGAAGAGAAGUUCCUGCCGCCCCUGAUAGUGCUGCGAGCUGCUCUUGAGCUCCCUGGGUGUCCGGACAAGGAAAAGGCCCCUCCCUUGGGUCUGCAGUCUUUGCAGCUGGCUAUCCCAGUUUCUCAGCCCCUGGGCCAGCCGCCCUCUGUUUUGCUGGGUUUAUUUCAUCUCUGAGGCAGCGCUGGAAGUGACCACAGCUGGCUUCCCCUCCCAGGCCUGAACGAACUGCACACAGUGGGCCUGCAGAGCUGCGCCUUCCAGCCCCCUGCCUCGCCUGGCCGACCACUCCCGCUCUACACUUCGGAAGCAGGUAUUACGUAUUGCUCACGAGGGCUACUGGAACCGAGAGAAAGUUGCUUUCUGCUGUCAGCGUGGGACUCAAGAGAAGUUUAGCUUACUUUUAGUAAAUAGAAAGCUGAAUUCCUUGGAUGAAUGAAUGAAUGAAUGAAGUUUGAGAACUUGUUGCCACAAUAUAACUUGCAAUAACCUGAGAAUGUACAUAUAGAGUUCAAAAUAUUAAUUAACAUUAUAAUGCCAGAGAUACUAAUAAUCCUCAUGCCCAAAGGCUUUUCUUUCCGUGAAAAUAAUGUACAAGAAAAAUGGGUCAAAAAGCAAACAGGGCCAGGGAUUUAGCUCAGUGGUUCCGCCACCUGCCUCGCAAGCUAAAGACCCAAGUUCGAUCUCCGGUACCAAAAAAAAAAAAGCAGAGAGUUAGACAGUGGUGCAGGCCGUGAGCAUUGCCGUGGACCUUUUUGCACAUCUACGGGAGGGAAUGAGCUGGAGACCACUGAGGCUUUGGCUCCUGGCAACCCUCCAGUGCUUCACUGAGGUGCCAGGGACUACAGUGUGUUUAUCUGGGGACAGUGUGUUGAGUUGUCUGCACGUUUGUUGUGCACAUUUCCAUGUAUUUCUUAUCCUUCCAUAAAGCUGGAAGGGAUGAUGGGUAAACAGGUAUUUGUUUUAUAUUUGUUUAUACCUUGUAUUAAACACCUCUGGUAGAAGGGGGUAGGAGAGUAGUGGUUAUUUAUAGCUUAUUUAUAAUGAAGAGUCUGUCUUACUGUAGUCCCUUAAAAAUUAAACUCAAAAGUUAAGUAAUAAAAUCACUGAAAGUAAACAAAAAAUAAGUUCAUAAUGAAUAAGUCUUUAAAAGACACAGACAGUUAAGCCUCAUCUUUCCUCACAGAGAUUUGGUGUGGUUUAUUUGAGUGGAGCCCAGGCAUCCACAGUUUUAAAAAUGGCUCAUGUGCAUGGCGGUAAUCAUUAUUCUCAGAGUUAAGUGGCUGGUUUCAGAAGCAAAUUAACACCUUCUACACCUCCAUGGUAAGGCUUGGAUUUCACCGGCAAUGAGAUCUGCAUAUCCCUCCGGAUCUCCAACAGCAAGAUCCAUGAGUGGCAGAGCCACUAUGCCUUCAGCCCCAACAACCCCAGACCCAGAUGCAGCCGAGGGCCUGGCCUUCCACCUACAGCGCUGGCCUUUGUCUCUCUUACUCCUGUCUCCCGUGUCCCUGGUGUCUCUUCCUACUGUAGGCUCAAGACUGCCUACCUCUUAAAGCUGCUGGAGAAGUGAGCCCAAUUCCAUAAGGACUGCAGGGGCCAAAGAUGACGCUCCCCUAGUCGUCACUGACUCUCCUUGUUGCACGAGUUACAGACCCGCAGGAGGACACCAGCAUCCUGGCUGGGCCCUGACCAGACCCUUGCACUGCACCCUAACCCUGGCUGGCCAUCCCCGUGACCUGCAGGCCCACAGCCCUUCUAGAACCACCAACCAACUCUACUCGGCACUCUGGCCUACUUGCCACAUGGUAUUUGCUGACCCUUCUGCUCUUUUAAAACCACGCCCAGAGAGCACCAAGCUGCCCUAUAUCACCAAUGAAAAACUCUUAGCCGAAUAAGCUCUGAAAUUUUGUCAUAAAGGUCUAGUUGGUACCAAAGAGUUUGUAAGUUUUUAAGUCAUACCCCAUAUUUUAUCUGUCUUUAUACUGCAUGCAAAAGAGGUGACAUGUAUUGUGCUAUGAUUUAUGAAAACAUCUCUACAUGCACAGGACAACACGAUUGCUGGACCCUGAAGACAUCUUAGCUGGUGACCUACAAACAUCUGCUUGCAGGAUCUUCUUGGAGCAAGCCUUAGACAUCCAGGAAGUAGCAGGAGCCCCAAGGUUCAGUUUCUCAAGAGCACCAAGAAAUGGCCAAUGCUUUAGUUAAGAAUGUGCACCAGCCUGCAGUUCUUCACUGAGGUAUUUUGUCACAGUGACAGAAAGCUGAGCAUCACAAACACAAGGAAGAAGGUCAUGGUAAAUGCAAGCAGAGACUGGAGUGAAGCAGCUAUAAGCCAUGAAUGCUGGGGAGCGUUGGAGCCACCAGAAGCUAUGAAGAGCCAAGGAAGGCUUACUUCUUCCUAGAGUUUUUACCUGGAGUAUAGCCCUACUGCUACCUUGAUUUCAGACUUUUAGCCACCAAAUAAGUGAUGGAAUAAAUUUCUGCUGUUUUAAACCAUUUAGUUUGUGGGAAUUUGUCAUAGCAGCUCCAGGAAAUGAAUAUAUGCAA
Non-coding RNA from Heterocephalus glaber (naked mole-rat), 4581 nucleotides. The record is from RefSeq and is a predicted model, not a curated record. Lineage: Eukaryota; Metazoa; Chordata; Mammalia; Rodentia; Bathyergidae.